RNAcentral lists this ribosomal RNA (710 nucleotides) under Paracoccidioides brasiliensis. RNAcentral describes it as "eukaryotic LSU rRNA". It matches the Rfam family "Eukaryotic large subunit ribosomal RNA", at positions 98 to 825 of the family's 3401-position model. The record is from RNAcentral. Lineage: Eukaryota; Fungi; Ascomycota; Eurotiomycetes; Onygenales; Ajellomycetaceae.
GCGGCAAGAGCUCAAAUUUGAAAUCUGGCUCCUUCGGGGCCCGAGUUGUAAUUUGUAGAGGAUGCUUCGGGCGUGGCCGCGGUCUAAGUCCCCUGGAACGGGGCGUCGCAGAGGGUGAGAAUCCCGUCUUCGGCCGGCCGGCCCCGCCCGUGUGAAGCUCCUUCGACGAGUCGAGUUGUUUGGGAAUGCAGCUCUAAAUGGGUGGUAAAUUUCAUCUAAAGCUAAAUACUGGUCGGAGACCGAUAGCGCACAAGUAGAGUGAUCGAAAGAUGAAAAGCACUUUGAAAAGAGAGUUAAACAGCAUGUGAAAUUGUUGAAAGGGAAGCGCUUGCGACCAGAGUCGGCCGCGGGGGCUCAGCGGGCACUCGUUGCCCGUGCACUCCCCCGUGGUCGGGCCAGCGUCGGUUUCGACGGCCGGUCAAAGGCCCCCGGAAUGUGUCGCCUCUCGGGGCGUCUUAUAGCCGGGGGUGCAAUGCGGCCAGUCGGGACCGAGGAACGCGCUCCGGCACGGACGCUGGCUUAAUGGUCGUAAGCGACCCGUCUUGAAACACGGACCAAGGAGUCUAACAUCCACGCGAGUGUUCGGGUGUCAAACCCGUCCGCGCAGUGAAAGCGAACGGAGGUGGGAACCCUCAAGGGUGCACCAUCGACCGAUCCUGAAGUCUUCGGAUGGAUUUGAGUAAGAGCGUGGCUGUGGGACCCGAAAGAUG